ACUCCUACGGGAGGCAGCAGUAGGGAAUCUUCCACAAUGGGCGCAAGCCUGAUGGAGCAACACCGCGUGAGUGAAGUAAGGGUUUCGGCUCGUAAAGCUCUGUUGUUAAAGAAGAACACGUAUGAGAGUAACUGUUCAUACGUUGACGGUAUUUAACCAGAAAGUCACGGCUAACUACGUGCCAGCAGCCGCGGUAAUACGUAGGUGGCAAGCGUUAUCCGGAUUUAUUGGGCGUAAAGAGAGUGCAGGUCGGUUUUUCUAAGUCUUGAGUUCGAGAGAGGUGAGUGGAAUUCCGAGUGUAGAGGUGAAAUUCGUAGAUAUUCGGAGGAACACCAGUGGCGAAGGCGGCUCACUGGCUCGAUACUGACGCUGAGGUGCGAAAGCGUGGGAGCAAACAGGAUUAGAUACCCGUGGUAGGUGAC
This 422-nucleotide ribosomal RNA is filed under the name uncultured bacterium. RNAcentral describes it as "bacterial SSU rRNA". It matches the Rfam family "Bacterial small subunit ribosomal RNA", at positions 335 to 798 of the family's 1533-position model. The record is from RNAcentral.